AAAAACAGCAGGGGUUUUUGUAAGUGGUCCUUCUGAGAACAAUGACACUGAGGCGCGCGUGCAUGUGAAGACUCCAUUUUAUUCUUUCAGUGUUUGAAUGAACACAACGUCGCCCGGUUGGAAAAUGAUCGCUAUUUUACGAGAAAAAUUGCAUAAAAAUGUAUUUUAAACAGCGUUUGACAUGCUUCGAAGUACGGUAAUGGAAUAUUUUUAAAUUUUUUGUCACGAAAUGCGCCGGCGCGUCACCCUUCGGAUAGUGACUUGAACGCACGAACAAAACGGAGCUAUUUGGAUAUAACUAUGGAUUAUUUCGAACCAAAACAACAUUUGUUGUUGAAGUGGAAGUCCUGGAUGUGCAUUCUGACGAAGAACAGCAAAGGUAAAUAGCAAUAUGCUUUAAACCACUCUGGCGACACAUACUUUUCUGCUGUGUUUCCAAUCAUCCACAUGGCUGGGAGAACCUAUUCAAAUACAGAGAGCCGUGAAAGCCUGGUAUGCAGAUGAAGAGGUCCCAAUAAAGAGCAGUGGUUCUCAGUCCUGGUCCUGGGGACUCAAAGGGGCAUGUGUGAAGUCUACCUGUGUACUGCAUAACUUCAUGAGGAUGGACACGAGGACCAGGAAGGGACCUGCAAUUCUCCGCUGUGUGCCAGAGGAUGGGAUGGGGGCCAACAAUGCAGCACGGGAGGAAAUCCGUGUGCGGAAGAUCUUCACCUACUACUUCUUCGAAGAGGGUGCUGGUCCCUGGCAACACCAUAAACUACACUAUGCAUAACCAAAAGCUUGUUUAAUCGCCACCCACAACGUAAUAGGAGUAUUCUUUCAUUUACUUAGCUAUGUCAACUGCAGUUAUUCAAUUCCCAGUAUCUCUCGCUUUGAUUUCCUGAUGUUCAGGUAAGGGUGAUGUCUGCACAAAAUCAAAACAGGCUCUUCUAGGAGUCACCCAUAUUGAUUAUUAUUUUUUUUUUACAAUUAGACACCCUACAACCCACACCUACACACUUGUGUGUCAGUCUGAUUGAUGGAUUGUGUUGUUGAGUAAGCAGGCUUGGGUGUAUAACUCUGGCUUCCACCUUCAAAGAAUAGUUAAGAGGACCAACCAUGGAGAAUAGUAAGACACUCAAUUAUUUAUAUUUCUGUAACUACGCUUUAUUGUUUGUCCUCAUGUGUCUGUGCAUGUUUUUCAGUUUAAAUUACUCUGCAGCCACAGUGUGGACACCAGGUGAGGCCACACACAGAUUCCUGUUUAACACUGUCUCUUUAACUACCUUAUAUUCUCUCCUUCACUUCAUCCCUCUCCCCCCUCUCCCCCCUUCUUCUGAUCAGAGGUGAGAGGUCACUUGGUCUGGUCAACAGGAAGUAUUAUUAAAGAGACACUUUACAUUGAAAUACAGAUGGAGAUGUAGAAGUCCCAGAGUUAAUGAUACAAGGUAUGUUUUGAUGUGAGAGAAGAUGCCAAGCCCCAGUCCUGUCAUCGCCACCUCACCCGCUCUAAGAUAACCCUCGGGCCAACUCAAGGCUGGUUAGGAGACACUGCUAGAGACACUAUUAUGUAAUCGUGAUGACCUGAGAGAAAAUGAAGUUUAGUAGAACUGUAAAUCGUUAAUCAUAUGCUGUCUUCCCUGCUCCUCUGUUCUUAUCUCUUCCCCCCUCCUCUUCCUUCC
RNAcentral lists this long non-coding RNA (1661 nucleotides) under Salmo salar (Atlantic salmon). Its description in RNAcentral is "lncRNA (ENSSSAG00000110136.1, ENSSSAG00000112362.1)". The stretch from base 918 to 963 matches the Rfam family "Histone 3' UTR stem-loop". Lineage: Eukaryota; Metazoa; Chordata; Actinopteri; Salmoniformes; Salmonidae. The record is from RNAcentral.